Molecule: non-coding RNA, 80 nt
Organism: Hydnum rufescens UP504
Lineage: Eukaryota; Fungi; Basidiomycota; Agaricomycetes; Cantharellales; Hydnaceae
Source: the annotation of a GenBank genome assembly
UUCUUGCUAGUAUAUCGGUAGAACACUCCCCUGUCAGUCUGAAAACGGGAGAGGGCUGGGUUCGAUUCCCAGGCAGGAAG